RNAcentral lists this ribosomal RNA (502 nucleotides) under uncultured bacterium. RNAcentral describes it as "partial 16S ribosomal RNA". It matches the Rfam family "Bacterial small subunit ribosomal RNA", at positions 28 to 507 of the family's 1533-position model. The record is from RNAcentral.
GACGAACGCUGGCGGCGUGCCUAAUACAUGCAAGUCGAACGAACCGCGACUAGGUGCUUGCACUUGGUCAAGGCGAGUGGCGAACGGGUGAGUAACACGUGGGUAACCUACCUCAUAGUGGGGGAUAACAGUCGGAAACGACUGCUAAUACCGCAUAGGACAUAGGAUCACAUGAUCCAGUGAGGAAAGGUGGCGCAAGCUAUCGCUAAGAGAUGGACCCGCGGUGCAUUAGCUAGUUGGUAGGGUAAAGGCCUACCAAGGCGAUGAUGCAUAGCCGACCUGAGAGGGUGAUCGGCCACAUUGGGACUGAGACACGGCCCAAACUCCUACGGGAGGCAGCAGUAGGGAAUCUUCCGCAAUGGACGCAAGUCUGACGGAGCAACGCCGCGUGAGUGAAGAAGGUCUUCGGAUCGUAAAGCUCUGUUGUUAGAGAAGAACAGCGCAUAGAGUAACUGUUAUGCGUGUGACGGUAUCUAACCAGAAAGCCACGGCUAACUACGUG